This is a long non-coding RNA of Mastomys coucha (southern multimammate mouse), 399 nucleotides long. RefSeq lists it as uncharacterized. Lineage: Eukaryota; Metazoa; Chordata; Mammalia; Rodentia; Muridae. The transcript is spliced from 3 exons. The record is from RefSeq and is a predicted model, not a curated record.
CAACAUAAUUAGAUUUAGUGCACUUCAAUUUCAGGGUUUUUUUGUUUGUUUGUUUUGUUUUAUUUUGUUCUUGGAAAAGAGAAUGAAUAAAGACGGAGGGCUACAAAGGAACAAGACAGCCUUCCUCAAGGAUGCAGGUUCACGCUAAAGACUUACUCCUGUGCCCCGCCUCCCCUCCACCUGACAACCUGGGAAAGGAACUAGGAAAUGGGCCCUUGGGCCACUCUGGGAGUGGGAGCCGUUCCAAGAGCAAAGGUGGCGGAGGAUAAUCCAAGACUUGUGAUGGAGACCCCUAAGCCUUGUUGGUACUAACUUAGCUGUUGUUCAGCGCUGGGCAAGUAACCUCCUCUGAGGAUCUCACUUUGAUCUUUGUAAAAUAAAAAUGAAAUCUCCUCUAGG